GAAUGCAGUGCGAAAGAACCAUCACCAAACGAUUAUGUACAUGGUACAUUUUUACAUGAAUGAUAUUUGAGUCAUUUUAUUAUUAAUUUCAUUGUUUUUUCCUUUUUUUUUUUCAAA
This 117-nucleotide non-coding RNA is filed under the name Aurantiochytrium limacinum. The record is from RNAcentral. Lineage: Eukaryota; Bigyra; Thraustochytrida; Thraustochytriidae.